This is a long non-coding RNA of Anopheles gambiae (African malaria mosquito), 2901 nucleotides long. RefSeq lists it as uncharacterized. Lineage: Eukaryota; Metazoa; Arthropoda; Insecta; Diptera; Culicidae. The record is from RefSeq and is a predicted model, not a curated record. The transcript is spliced from 2 exons.
UGCACGAAUAGCAUAACCAAUUAAAGCGACAAAACAAGAAGGAAACAUAUAUUGUACGAAGUGAUGAAUGUUAAUUUAAUUUAAAUUGAUACUUAUUUAUCAUUACGUCCUCAAUUGAUGUUGUGUUCAUAGAUGUAUUUUCAGCCUACGUUUGAAUAAUGAAAAUGAUUUUAAUCUAUUAAUUUUUAUUUGCUUCCCUAAUCUGUGCUGAAACUAUCAAUUAUGCUUAAUGGAAAAAUAAUGCGUACCUUGUAUUCACACUGCAAUUAAGAAAGCGUUUUCAAAUCCAGCUGUUUUUUUUUAAGAACAAAAAUGUAUUUCCCCAUUUAUUUGUGAUCUUCCUGAACUGCUUUUCUUUUGUAACGCGUAACUCGAACAGUAACGUCUAAUCCCUCGGGACUCAUUUUUCAUCAACGCAUCACUCACUCAAAAAGGUAAGCUGUGCAGUUUAAUGCUUCGGACAUAUUCAGCCAGGUGUACGCAAUGCAAUGAAUAUCACCGUAUACGUCCCCAACUAAGAGCCGUUUGUGCUGUGCAGCUCAACAUAACAGAGUCAUAGCCUAAUAGCUCACAUGAACCGUGGAAAAUCCACAAGAAAAGACACCAAACAGUCAAGCGUUAAUACCAUCCGUAUGGUGUGGUGAAGGCAAAAAAUAAAUUUAAGUAAACAGCAUUGCUCGAGAGAAGAAAAAAAGCAUACAGCAUUAACUUUUAGCUUCCCACAUGGUCUUGUCCUGCUGACCAUCCAUAUUGUCUGUCAGCCAUCAGUCGGGACUGCGAAGUCACGUCCGCCAGAAAGUGCAGAAGUGUAUAAUUUGCGAAAUUUGCUUGAUUUUCCUUGUCUUCUCGGUAGGUGCAGUUGAUGAGCUUAUCUUAAAGUUGCUUUUCCAUCCUAUUUUAUGGAGCUCGUGCUCGUUGAUUUUUAGUGCAUAAAAUAAGAACACAAAAUAUAUCAAUCUAUGAUAAACAUAAUGUAAGAAAUUUGUGUUUAUGUUUUUGCUAAUCAGUGUUGAUAGCUAUUUUAUUCAGGAAAAUUCAUAACCAGAAUUCGAUGCUGGUCUCAAUAAUGUGAUAUUUAUUGGUACGAUGCAUUGCAAAUAAAAACAACAAACAAUCAAAACAAUUAUUACAAGAGACCUUCAUUCUUGGUCUUGAAAGUAAAAGCUGAUGCAACAAUGCGUUACCAAAAGGAAAAGGAAGCAUUUUAUGUCCAGUUGCAAUCAACUUCUCUCACUUUACCGGCACACUAACAGUCAACGCUCGCUCAAUCUCAUACCGCUAUUGGGUUGAGCGUGAGCAUUGCAGGGUUGGCUUACUUGUAGUGAAUCAAGCCUUUAGUUAUUUUCUAUCAGCACCAAUUAUAAAAUUUUGUAAACAGAUCAAUUAGUUAUCAAAGAUAUACAUACGUUUUAUCUUCUUCUCGGCGUAACGUUCUACGCGAACAUGCCGGCCUAUACAGACUUUCGAGACUUACAGGGUGUUUUGAAUUGAUACCAAUGACGUUUUCUAAAAAAACAUCAUUUGGAGUUGUUUUCCUGUGGCAUUCAGCUGUACACAUGAUAAACUAAAUAAAUCCUACUGCGGAGCCAUAAUUAAACAUGAUCAUAUGAUUGCCAGCUUCCACAGCUCGCUUGCAACAUUCCCCUAAGUCAAGGGCCUCCAAACUUUUCAGCCCGCGGGCCGCAUUGUUUCAAAAAUCACUAUGUUAAGGGCCAUUUAAUGUUACCUAUAAUUGAUGAGUGAACGUUUAAAUCUCAUUUUUAUAACAAAAUACUAACGAUACUUGAACAGAUUCGUGUUACUAAAGCUUGAUUUUUGUCUAGGAAAUGUAAAAAAAUACAAUUUCUUUUGAAAAAGUCAAAAUAACCUAAUAUUUAUUCUAAAUCUGGCAAAGUCAUCGGGGCCGCAUUUUAAGCUCUUGAGGGCCGCAUGCGGCCCGCGGGCCUUAGUUUGGAGACCCCUGCCCUAAGUGAUUGAACUAUUCCCUUAUAUGAUACGAAACCCUUAUGGGUGGAUGCUCCAUUCUAGACUUGAACCCACGAUGAGAAUGUAGCUAAGGCGUGCGAGUUGACGACCGUACCACGGGACAGGCAUAUUAUAUUCUUGUAAUAGAGUCAUCUGGAUGUUGAGCCAAUGAAGUUUUCUAUUGAAUACUUUACUGUAAAGUUGUUUUUUUUAUUCGCAUCAAAUUGUAAUCAGAACAGAACAGGCCUCAUUAGUUUCGGAAAAUACUCAUACCAGUACUGCGAGCUGAUGUGGCUAAAACUAAUUUCACCUGUAUUUGCCAGAAUACGUUGAAAAAAUACCAAACGAAUAAAAACUGGGUCCACAAACCCUGCAACUGUGGCAAGGAAUGCGUUUUAGUACGAGCCAAUCGUCACCAGCUGACACUGCUUUUCGAAUCAGACUUGUGUCGGCAGUCGGCGCGUCGUGAGUGUGUCUUCAGAACCGGCUGAUAAGUGAACAUCGAAAGAGUUUGGUUCGUACCAACGCAAACAAGUGCCUCCAGUCCAGUUAGUUCCGUUCAUCAAACACCAGUGCGGUUUACGUAUUGCAGCGAGUGCGUCAUCGGGUGUUGUGAACGUUGGAAAUGUGUUGUCUAAGACUACAGCGUCAUUAACGGCAAGCUCCGGUCCUACAGAGGAAAUAGUAGUUUAAUUUCCGUUAAAGUGCUUAAAGUAAACAGUGCCGAGUGACUGUAAAGUUGAAAAGUACGAAUCGCUAUAACAACGAUCUGCUGAAGUGAUUCGCUUUAGCGAUAAGAAACUGCAAAUACAUCGUUCGAGGGCUGAGUGAAGUUAUACAAUCAAAAGCCCUCCACCGAUCGCCCUUCCUGUCCAGUGCUUCACAAGUUCUUCCCCGGUUUUGUACCGAGUGCAUUGGACGAGCGUCCAACUAUCC